This 467-nucleotide ribosomal RNA is filed under the name uncultured bacterium. RNAcentral describes it as "bacterial SSU rRNA". It matches the Rfam family "Bacterial small subunit ribosomal RNA", at positions 40 to 507 of the family's 1533-position model. The record is from RNAcentral.
CGGCAUGCCUAACACAUGCAAGUCAACUUGACUGAAGGAGCAAUCUGACAGUAGAGUGGCGCAAGGGUGCGUAACGCGUAAGUAACUUGCCCAAGGUAAGGAAUAACGUCGAGAAAUCGGCGCUAAUACCUCAUAAUGCAGCGGAUCCGCAUGGAUAUGUUGUUAAAGGUUUACCGCCUUGGGAUAGGCUUGCGUCUGAUUAGCUAGUUGGUGUGGUAACGGCACACCAAGGCUACGAUCAGUAACUGGUCUGAGAGGAUGAUCAGUCACACUGGAACUGAGACACGGUCCAGACUCCUACGGGAGGCAGCAGUGAGGAAUAUUGGGCAAUGCUCGAAAGAGUGACCCAGCAACGCCGCGUGGAGGAUGAAGGUAUUCUAUAUCGUAAACUCCUGUGAGAGCAGACGAAAGACAGAUUAUUAAUCUGGAUGACUGUAUGCUCAGAGGAAGCCCCGGCUAACUACGUG